CUAACUAGGAUUCCCUUAGUAGCGGCGAGCGAACAGGGAAGAGCCCAGCACUGAAUCCCGCGGUCAGAUCGAUCGCCGGGAAAUGUAGUGUUAGGAAGGGUCCGUUAUCUUCGCGCCCGUCGACUCGUCCAAGUCCAUCUUGAACGGGGCCACAACCCAUAGAGGGUGCCAGGCCCGUAGGACGAAGACGGUUGCGGAGAGGAUCACUUCCGAGAGUCGGGUUGCUUGAGAGUGCAGCCCUAAGUGGGUGGUAAACUCCAUCUAAGGCUAAAUAUGACCACGAGACCGAUAGCGAACAAGUACCGCGAGGGAAAGUUGAAAAGAACUUUGAAGAGAGAGUUCAAUAGUACGUGAAACCGUUCAGGGGUAAACCUGAGAAACCCGAAAGGUCGAACGGAGAGAUUCAUUCGCGGUUCGGGCGGUGAUCUAGAGCGUUGGGAAGACGUUACGUUCCUCGUGAGCGAGACGCCCCUUCGUCUCGGAUCCGCCGUCGAACGCGUGCACUUCUUUCCUAGUAGGACGUCGCGAUCCGUUGAGUGCCGGUCGAAGGGUCCGUAAGGAAGCCCGCGAACGCGAUGAAAAUCGUCGUUUGCGGACCUGCGGUCUCCUGUCCGGCCGCUCGACGGUGUACAGACGGUGAGAGACCGCGAUUUUCGCGCCUGGUCGGUCGCAAACGCGCUACGUGCGUCGGCUUUCGGUUUUACCGAUGAUGCCGGCCUCUAGCGGUUGUUGGCGAUCGUACUCUCGGGCAGAUCUCUUUUUAACCGAUCUGCGACGCUACAGCUUUGGGUACUCUCAGGGCCCGUCUUGAAACACGGACCAAGGAGUCCAGUGUGUACGCGAGUCAUUGGGUCCGACUAAACCUAAAGGCGUAAUGAAAGUAAAGAUCCGCAAGGAUCUAGGGAAGAUGACCGACCUUCUGGUCGGUCCGCACUCCCGGGGUGUCUCUAUCUUUUAUAGAUGAGGCGCACCAAGAGCGUACACGCUGGGACCCGAAAGAUGGUGAACUAUGCCCGGUCAGGACGAAGUCAGGGGAAACCCUGAUGGAGGUCCGUAGCGGUUCUGACGUGCAAAUCGAUCGUCUGAACUGGGUAUANNNNNNNNNNNNNNNNNNNNNNNNNNNNNNNNNNNNNNNNNNNNNNNNNNNNNNNNNNNNNNNNNNNNNNNNNNNNNNNNNNNNNNNNNNNNNNNNNNNNUGAAGCCGCGAGAUCACGGAUCAGAGUGCAAAGCGGGCCAUUUUUGGUAAGCAGAACCGGCGCUGUGGGAUGAACCAAACGCCGAGUUAAAGCGCCUAAAUCAACGCUUAUGGGACACCAUGAAAGGCGUUGGUAACUUAAGACAGCAGGACGGUGGCCAUGGAAGUUGGAAUCCGCUAAGGAGUGUGUAACAACUCACCUGCCGAAGUUACUAGCCCUGAAAAUGGAUGGCGCUAAAGCGUUGUGCUUAUACUCGGCCGUCAGUGGCAAGUGCGGUCGCGUAAGCGGCUAUGAAGCCCUGACGAGUAGGGGGGUCGCGACGGUGAGCGCAGAAGGGUUGGCCGUGAGGCCGCCUGGAGCCGCCGUCGGUGCAGAUCUUGGUGGUAGUAGCAAAUACUCCAGCGAGGCCCUGGAGAACUGAGGUGGAGAAGGGUUUCGUGUGAACAGUCGUUGCACACGAGUCAGUCGAUCCUAAGCCCUAGGCGAAAGCCGAAGUCGAUGCGGUUGUGUCCAUUAGUACUCGUAGUAGCUUGUGCCCUCUUUCGAGAGAGCAGUKCGGCUCUCGUACGAUGUUAGAACGCACCCAUCUGGGCGAAAGGGAAUCCGGUUCCUAUUCCGGAACCCGGCCGCGCAACCGUCGUAUAAACCGGGCCCUCAAUUGAGAGUUCGUCGGGGUAACCCGAAAGGACCCGGAGACGCCGUAGAGAUAUCCGGGAAGAGUUUUCUUUUCUGCAUAAGCGUUCGGGAUCCAUGGAAUCCUUUAGCAGGGAGAUAUGGAUUGGAACGCGAAGAGCACCGUAGUUACUGCGGUGUCCGGAUUAUCUCUUCGGCCCUUGAAAAUCCGGGAGAGGGCCACGUGUAGGUGUCGCGCCGGUUCGUACC
RNAcentral lists this ribosomal RNA (2078 nucleotides) under Sarapidus sp. JAG-2009. RNAcentral's name for it is "partial 28S ribosomal RNA". It matches the Rfam family "Eukaryotic large subunit ribosomal RNA", at positions 65 to 1849 of the family's 3401-position model. Lineage: Eukaryota; Metazoa; Arthropoda; Insecta; Coleoptera; Coccinellidae. The record is from RNAcentral.